Molecule: long non-coding RNA, 1544 nt
Filed under: Equus asinus (donkey)
Lineage: Eukaryota; Metazoa; Chordata; Mammalia; Perissodactyla; Equidae
Description: lncRNA (ENSEASG00005029798.1)
Source: RNAcentral
GACUGACUUACUGACUUACUGACUGAAGGGCGGGCGGGCGCAGACUGACUGACUGACUUACUGACUGAAGGGCGGGCGGGCAGGCGGGCGCAGACUGACGGGUGGGCGGGCGGGUGCAGACUGACUGACCGACGGGCGGGCGGGCGCAGAUUGACUGGCGCCGACUGACGGGCCGACUGACGGGAGGGCGGGUGCAGACUGACGGACGGACGCGCGGGCGGGCGGGCACAGACUGACGGACGGACUGACUGCCGGCCUGACGGCGGGCUGCGCGCGCCCGCGAGGCGCCCGGCCCAGCUCCCCGCACCCCCGCCUUCCGGCGCCCGCUGCCUCCUGCCUCCCCCUCUAGUCGGACCCGCGCGGCCUGGCGAGGACGCCGAGAGAACCUUCGAGAGCUUUCCAGAACCUUCGAGAUUCCCGCGGUGCCCGUGAGGGAGGCGCUUCUGGCCGAGGGCCGGCCAAGCUUGGGGCGCGGAGUGGCGGCGUGUGCCCUCCCGGGCGGACGGUCCCCUGGCCUCGCUUCUUUGCGGAGUCGUCACUGUGACGUCCCUUUUGCCCGACGCGGGGCCACGCACCGCCUGCUUGGUUUCUGGCGCGCCUCCGUCACCUCAGAUGUGCGGGUGGCGCCCCGGGGUCCCUGGUGUCCCCAGGCCGUGCGGCCCCCUGCUCCCGGGGUGGCCUGUGACCGCUGGCCUGACAGGGGGAGGCCGUGCUGGGGGAGGACAGGCACCCCGGGGUGCGCCCCCGUUGUCACCUCGCUGUGGUUCACGUCCGGGAGCCAUCUCGCUGCCCGUGUCGCCGUCUCACGUUAACCAGGACGACCGCGAGCGUCCUCCGCUCUGGUGCCCGGCAGGGUGGCUGGGGGUGGCAGGGCUGCUGGCAUGUGACUGGUGUCCUCUGACCUGUGACUGGCGCCCCGUCAGGUGCCGCGAGAGCAGCUCUGCCACCGGCCCGCAGCAUCCAGCGCCGGGUACGUGUCAGGGGACAGAGGUGACCGUGCGGUGUCCAUCUGGUGGGAGCCGUCGGGCCCCUCGGUGUCCGGCAGUGGAGGCACGGUGGCCACACGAGGACAGAGCCACGUCGCUGCGCGUCCGAGUCCGGAGAGAAGCGUUUCUGAAACCUACCAUCCCAGGCUGACGUGAGAAAAACUUCAGAGCAACCCCAGUGGAAGGGCGUCUUGCCACACUCCAGCCCGGUCCCCCUCACACCGGCCCAGGGCAUCAGGAGCGUCUGAGGAUGUCCCAGCCCAGAGGGGCCAGGAGACAGGACACCUGAGUGUCACCUGGGGUCCUGGGACAGAGGACAUCAGGGGAGACUGAGGAUGCUGGACACAGUAUGGACUUUAGUCAACAAGGACACGUCGAUUGUGGUCAUCAGCGGGGACACACGAGACAGGCCUGCAUAAGACACCAACCACGGGGGACCCGAGCUUGGGGCACGCGGGAACCCUCCGUGCCAGCUUUCCACCUUCGCUGUGAAUCUAACACUGUUCCAAAAAGCAAACUCCACUAAUAAUAGUAAUCGUAACAAUAAAAGAGCCAGAA